Long non-coding RNA from Brassica napus (rape), 524 nucleotides. RefSeq lists it as uncharacterized. NCBI's taxonomy places the organism in Eukaryota, Viridiplantae, Streptophyta, Magnoliopsida, Brassicales, Brassicaceae. The transcript has 2 exons. The record is from RefSeq and is a predicted model, not a curated record.
UCUGCAAAUCUGAAAUCUCCACUAAUUCCAACUUCGGUUCAUCAUCAUCUCACAUUCCUAUGUCACCUCCUAUCUCUAUUUCCAUAUACAGACUUUCUAAUAACAUGCACUGCAAAAUUUAUUCUUUUCACUUGUAUAAUCAUAGAUCUCUUUUUUAAUAUAGUAAUAGAAGAAGGCCACCCGUUUUAUUUCUGGAGAAGCAUAUAUUAAGAAUAGAGUUCCUCAGACGACAGCUCUUGCUUCCGAUCUGCAGAAACCAAAUCACGAAAUGGAGUCAGCUAAAACCUGUUAAUCAAUUUUAUAUCAUGGCAAUGUUAACUGUAGUCAGCUAAAACUUGUAAACCAAUGUGAACAGUUCUUUCUUCGAGUCGAGCAAACACAUAAUGUGGGCUAAAACUUUUGAAUGUAUUUUAUGAUAAUCAUCAUUAUAUUGGUUAUGUCAACAUCUGUAUUUGUUCAAAACACAAAGUUAAAUUAAUUUGUACGUGCUUAACCAUAUGUAUUUCUUGUUAAUCAAUUUUAUA